UUGGGAACCAUGUUGAUCACAAACUACCAGUCUAGGAACAGGGAAACGGUCUCUAAUCAUGCUUUGGGCAUCGUCACGCGGAGCUUCUAAUAGUUGUGCAAAUGCCUGUGCCAUAUAUCAAAGCAAUUAGCAACAAAGAAGACAGUCAAUGGUAAAUGCAAGGUGGACAUUAAUUACUCUGAAUAAAAUAAUUUCAAUCAUAAACUGUAAGAAAGCUGCUACUGCUCCCAAUUAGAAGAUUAUACAUAUUUUAUUCAAAAUCUAAUUAUUAAAGAUCAUUCUUAGAGCAGAAUAUGCAAGUGAAAAUAAUUUAUAUGGCAAGACAUGUCGGAAUAUUGAGCACAUGCCUGAUGUUCUGGCUGGUUCUGGUACCCCAAGUUGCGCCAUUGAGCUAUUGUCAUUCCAUGAAAAAUAACCACACUAAAAUAUGAAUCAAGUAGCAGAAUCCGGUCUGCUGAAAUAGAAGACACAUCUAAUAGUGCGGGUGCAGG
This 491-nucleotide long non-coding RNA is filed under the name Lotus japonicus. RNAcentral describes it as "long non-coding RNA (LJAP_LNC000577)". The record is from RNAcentral. Lineage: Eukaryota; Viridiplantae; Streptophyta; Magnoliopsida; Fabales; Fabaceae.